RNAcentral lists this ribosomal RNA (253 nucleotides) under uncultured bacterium. RNAcentral describes it as "partial 16S ribosomal RNA". It matches the Rfam family "Bacterial small subunit ribosomal RNA", at positions 524 to 776 of the family's 1533-position model. The record is from RNAcentral.
UACAGAGGUCUCAAGCGUUGUUCGGAUUCAUUGGGCGUAAAGGGUGCGUAGGCGGCGCGGUAAGUCGGGUGUGAAAUCUUGGAGCUUAACUCCGAAACUGCAUUCGAUACUGCCGUGCUUGAGGACUGGAGAGGAGACUGGAAUUUACGGUGUAGCAGUGAAAUGCGUAGAUAUCGUAAGGGAGACCAGUGGCGAAGGCGGGUCUCUGGACAGUUCCUGACGCUGAGGCACGAAGGUCAGGGGAGCAAACGGG